UACAGAGGUCUCAAGCGUUGUUCGGAUUCAUUGGGCGUAAAGGGUGCGUAGGCGGCGCGGUAAGUCGGGUGUGAAAUCUCGGAGCUUAACUCCGAAACUGCACUCGAUACUGCCGUGCUUGAGGACUGGAGAGGAGACUGGAAUUUACGGUGUAGCGGUGAAAUGCGUAGAUAUCGUAAGGAAGACCAGUGGCGAAGGCGGGUCUCUGGACAGUUCCUGACGCUGAGGCACGAAGGUCAGGGGAGCAAACGGG
Molecule: ribosomal RNA, 253 nt
Filed under: uncultured bacterium
Lineage: Bacteria
Description: partial 16S ribosomal RNA
Rfam family: Bacterial small subunit ribosomal RNA
Source: RNAcentral